UAUCUCUGUAGAGUCUGCAUAUCAAUAAGCGGAGGAAAAGAAACUAACAUAGGAUUCCCUCAGUAACGGCGAGUGAAGCGGGAAGAGCUCAAAUUUGAAAUCUUCAAGGUUCUACCUUGACGAAUUGUAGUUUAAAGAAGUGUUUUCUGUUGGAGUUUUGGUAAAAGUUCUUUGGAAUAGGACAUCAUAGAGGGUGAGAAUCCCGUAUUUGACCAUUAUUUCCAGCUGUGUGAUACACUUUCAAAGAGUCGGAUUGUUUGGGAAUGCAGUCCAAAAUGGGUGGUAAAUUUCAUCUAAAGCUAAAUAUUGGCGAGAGACCGAUAGCGAACAAGUACCGUGAGGGAAAGAUGAAAAGAACUUUGAAAAGAGAGUUAAACAGUACGUGAAAUUGUCAAAAGGGAAGCGUUUGACACCAGUGUUGUUUUUCCGAAAAUCAAUUAAGAAUGUUUUAUUUUUGAGGAGUUAUGACUUCAUCGGCUUGCUCCUUUCUUUAUGGAACUUUCUUAAUGCACUUUUCGGUUAACAAGUCAACAUCAAUUUCUUUUGUUGUAAAAGAGUACGAGGAAGGUGGCUUUCUUUUCGGAGAAAGUGUUUAUAGCCUUGGACUUCUGCAAUCGGAGAGAUUGAGGUCUGCAGCGUAGAUCCUUCGGGGUUAGAUACACUUCGUGCUAAGUUAUAGCCUUUCAUAGACAACUUGUUGAUUAUGAUUAGUCAUUGUAGCUUACUCGCUUAUGCUAUUUUACCUACGCUUAGGAUGUUGAGUAGCGACAUACGCAC
This 777-nucleotide ribosomal RNA is filed under the name uncultured Neocallimastigales. RNAcentral describes it as "partial large subunit ribosomal RNA". It matches the Rfam family "Eukaryotic large subunit ribosomal RNA", at positions 24 to 649 of the family's 3401-position model. The record is from RNAcentral. Lineage: Eukaryota; Fungi; Neocallimastigomycota; Neocallimastigomycetes; Neocallimastigales.